RNAcentral lists this ribosomal RNA (175 nucleotides) under uncultured bacterium. RNAcentral describes it as "partial 16S ribosomal RNA". It matches the Rfam family "Bacterial small subunit ribosomal RNA", at positions 1325 to 1500 of the family's 1533-position model. The record is from RNAcentral.
GCUGGAAUUGCUAGUAAUGGCAGGUCAGCAUACUGCCGUGAAUACGUUCCCGGGCCUUGUACACACCGCCCGUCACACCAUGAGAGUUGGGAAUACCCGAAGCCUGUGAGCUAACGUUAAGAGGCAGCAGUCGAAGGUAGAAUCAAUGAUUGGGGUGAAGUCGUAACAAGGUAAC